RNAcentral lists this ribosomal RNA (468 nucleotides) under uncultured bacterium. RNAcentral describes it as "partial 16S ribosomal RNA". It matches the Rfam family "Bacterial small subunit ribosomal RNA", at positions 28 to 507 of the family's 1533-position model. The record is from RNAcentral.
GACGAACGCUGGCGGCGUGCUUAACACAUGCAAGUCGAACGGUGAAGCUCCAGCUUGCUGGAGUGGAUCAGUGGCGAACGGGUGAGUAACACGUGAGCAACCUGCCCCUGACUCUGGAAUAAGCGCUGGAAACGGCGUCUAAUACUGGAUACGAGAAGGGUCAGCAUGGGCACUUUCUGGAAAGUUGUGCGGUUGUGGAUGUUCUCGCGGCCUAUCAGCUUGUUGGUGAGGUAAUGAAUCACCAAGGCGACGACGGGUAGCCGGCCUGAGAGGGCGACCGGCCACACUGGGACUGAGACACGGCCCAGACUGCUACGGGAGGCAGCAGUGGGGAAUAUUGCACAAUGGGCGAAAGCCUGAUGCAGCGACGCCGCGUGAGGGAUGACGGCCUUCGGGUUGUAAACCUCUUUCAGCAGGGAAGAAGCGAAAGUGACGGUACCUGCAGAAGAAGCACCGGCUAACUACGUG